Molecule: non-coding RNA, 2125 nt
Organism: Podarcis lilfordi (Lilford's wall lizard)
Lineage: Eukaryota; Metazoa; Chordata; Lepidosauria; Squamata; Lacertidae
Source: the annotation of a GenBank genome assembly
UCACUUCUUGCUCCCAAUACUCCAGAGAUGCUCCGGGAAAGGCAUCGAUGAUUGCUCCGCAUCCGGCGCUAAUGAGCGGAAGCGCUCCAUCUGAAAAUGAGACAGAGCAUCCGCGAUGUCAUUAUUAAUGCCAGGUACGAAUUUGGCUGAGAAAUAUAUAUUCUGCUCAAGACACAGAAGGACGAAGGACCGUAACAAAUUUCCCACCCUGGUGGAACGCGCGUACUGUCUAGAAAGAACCGUUACUACUGCCGGGUUAUCUGUGUUGAAACAAACCCUAUGAUUGCGGAACUGCUCUGUCCAAAGAUGUACUGCCACUACAAUAGGGAAAAAAUCCAAGAAUGUAAGGUCCCGAGUAAUGGGCUGGCCCUGCCAGUCUGCAGGCCACUUUUGGGCACUUUUGGCCACUUUUGGGCUGGCCCUGCCAGUCUGCAGGCCACUUUUAGGCAUUACUGCUUCCAACCAUGGAGGCAGAGCACAGCCACCAUGGCUAGUAGCCAUUGACAGCCAUAUCCUCCAUAAUUUUGUUCUACUUCUCUUUCCAAGCCAUCCAAGUUGUUGGCCAUCACUACCACAUGUGGGAGCAAGGUCCAUUGAUUAACUAUGUGCUCUGUGAUGGAGUCGGUUGCCCACAAAUGCUUCCAAUAAUAUCAGCUUCCCCUGGACCCCUUCACUACACCUAGAUGAGGAUGGAAAUUUAUAUUUCCCUCAGCACAUGUCUGUGAUAAUGUUGGUAUCUCACUGUUGCAAUCUCAGCACCAGAAUUCUCUGUUUGGAGGUACACUCCUUCAUCCCAUGGAGAUUACUGUAUGGGUAGAAUUCACCUCUGUUGUGAUGUAAAUUCUAUUCGGUCACUUCCCUCCACUAGGUACCUAUAGAACAUUUUUUUCAGAUGGUUUGCCUGUAUAAGAUCCUCCAAAACAGGCCCUAAAUAUUCACUUUCGGUGCAACUCAAUAACUACCUAUGGACCCGAAAAUACUUACUGAGUUGGUUGACUUUUUUUGUAUCAAGACUGGUUUUGCCUUCUUGAAAUCCCUCAGAUGUUUUGUGAUCUUCGGAUGAAGGGCAGUAUACAAAUUUAAUUGAUAAUGAUGAUGGUGGUGUUCACCCAAACAAGUGAACCUCCAAAUCUGAAUGAUUUUUUCACCGCAGACGAAAACAGGUGGCCUCUUUGAUCUCUUUUGGUUGGCAAAAUUUGAGUGGGAAGCUUUGGAAAGAGCUGGCUUCCAUUGCACAGUUAUUCCACAAUGGGCUGUGUUCAGUUACGUCUGUCCACCAGUGCAAUGGCUCUUGUGCUAGCUGAUGGAUGAGUUUCAAUGAUGCACCAGGGAGGAAUCCGAUGCAACAGUCAACCUAGUGGAAAUGUGAUGCUCAACAGACGGCACAUCUGUUGUGCAACCAAGUUGCCAGCAACCUCUUGCGCAUCAACAUUCCUCUGGUGCAAAACAUUUCACCAGAGGAACAAAUACAAAGCAAAAGGGCUUUAACUUUGUGCUACACUGGCUACAAACCAAUGUUUUGCCAUGGCUGAUAUGUGUUGAUACCACUGAAAACAGAAGGAUGCAAAGCAUUGAUGGUACCUCUUGGGAAUAAUAUUCUGCAUUUGCCUUCAUAUCGCUCUUUUAGCAGCCUCAUUGUGCUAAAAGUAACACGUUGCUCUAGAAGUUUUCAUGGCUGACGGCCAGAACAGGCCAGCCAUUAUGAUAAUAUAUGGAUUAUUAUCAUUCUUUUUCUCCUCCUUAGUUAAAAAAAGAUGAAACUCUGAAGCAGGGAUGAAUAUGGGUUAGAGCUGAAGACUGAGCCAGCUUUUCAAAAUUCAGGUGGGCACAUUUGUCUUGUGAGCUGUUCACCCAGGCCCCAAUUAGUUUUAUAUUAACCUCCUUAAGCAGAGGAUAGCUGUGAUCUUAACACUACUCCAAAAUGGUCUAUUAGCUACCCCAUUUCCUGGAAACGCCUAUAGUAGGUCACCCAGUGGCAACAGCUGAUGAAUUCAGUGAGUUAUAAUGAGUGUCCUAUCUACUGGGAGCUGAGAGAGCACAAGAACAUAGAUAUGUAUUUCAUAUAUGCAUGUUUCUCCAUCUCUCACAGUAUGAAUGUGCAUAUAUGUAGAAGCGCAAUGUCAAC